This 1467-nucleotide ribosomal RNA is filed under the name uncultured bacterium. Its description in RNAcentral is "bacterial SSU rRNA". It matches the Rfam family "Bacterial small subunit ribosomal RNA". The record is from RNAcentral.
AGAGUUUGAUCCUGGCUCAGGACGAACGCUGGCGGCGUGCUUAACACAUGCAAGUCGAGCGAUGAAGCUCCUUCGGGAGUGGAUUAGCGGCGGACGGGUGAGUAACACGUGGGUAACCUACCUCAAAGAGGGGGAUAGCCUCCCGAAAGGGAGAUUAAUACCGCAUAAUAAUCAGUUUUCACAUGGAGACUGAUUUAAAGGAGUAAUCCGCUUUGAGAUGGACCCGCGGCGCAUUAGCUAGUUGGUAGGGUAACGGCCUACCAAGGCGACGAUGCGUAGCCGACCUGAGAGGGUGAUCGGCCACAUUGGAACUGAGAGACGGUCCAGACUCCUACGGGAGGCAGCAGUGGGGAAUAUUGCACAAUGGGCGAAAGCCUGAUGCAGCAACGCCGCGUGAGUGAAGAAGGUUUUCGGAUUGUAAAGCUCUGUCUUUGGGGACGAUAAUGACGGUACCCAAGGAGGAAGCCACGGCUAACUACGUGCCAGCAGCCGCGGUAAUACGUAGGUGGCGAGCGUUGUCCGGAAUUACUGGGCGUAAAGAGUGCGUAGGCGGAUAUUUAAGUGAGAUGUGAAAUACCCGGGCUUAACCCGGGCACUGCAUUUCAAACUGGAUAUCUAGAGUGCGGGAGAGGAGAAUGGAACUCCUAGUGUAGCGGUGAAAUGCGUAGAGAUUAGGAAGAACACCAGUGGCGAAGGCGAUUCUCUGGACCGUAACUGACGCUGAGGCACGAAAGCGUGGGUAGCAAACAGGAUUAGAUACCCUGGUAGUCCACGCCGUAAACGAUGAGUACUAGGUGUAGGAGGUAUCGACCCCUUCUGUGCCGCAGUAAACACAAUAAGUACUCCGCCUGGGAAGUACGAUCGCAAGAUUAAAACUCAAAGGAAUUGACGGGGGCCCGCACAAGCAGCGGAGCAUGUGGUUUAAUUCGAAGCAACGCGAAGAACCUUACCUGGACUUGACAUACCCUGAAUAUCUUAGAGAUAAGAGAAGCCCUUCGGGGCAGGGAUACAGGUGGUGCAUGGUUGUCGUCAGCUCGUGUCGUGAGAUGUUAGGUUAAGUCCUGCAACGAGCGCAACCCUUAUUGUUAGUUGCUACGCAAGAGCACUCUAGCGAGACUGCCGUUGACAAAACGGAGGAAGGUGGGGACGACGUCAAAUCAUCAUGCCCCUUAUGUCCUGGGCCACACACGUACUACAAUGGUGGUAAACAGAGGGAAGCAAGACCGCGAGGUGGAGCAAACCCCUAAAAGCCAUCCCAGUUCGGAUCGCAGGCUGAAACCCGCCUGCGUGAAGUUGGAAUCGCUAGUAAUCGCGGAUCAGCAUGCCGCGGUGAAUACGUUCCCGGGCCUUGUACACACCGCCCGUCACACCAUGAGAGUCGGGAACACCCGAAGUCCGUAGUCUAACUUAGGAGGACGCGGCCGAAGGUGGGGUUAGUAAUUGGGGUGAAGUCGUAACAAGGUAACC